UCUAGGAAGGUCUGUAAGAGAGAGAGAGAGGAGAAAUGUUGAAUUGUUGAAAGCUUUGAGAUUGGUGCGGCGGUUGCCCAAGGACUCAAGGCCUUACUACGCCAAGUACCUUCGCGAGACCAACCUCUCGACGACGUCUUCAAUCGUGCUUACCUUCAUUCCCUCUAGGUCCUCAACAAGUACUCUGUUGAUGAAUCCGCCGCGGAUAAAGAUCUGCACCGGUUCGUUGAGGUGUUCUUCUCCUCAUUUGUACUCAAAAUGAGGUUUUGAUUCGUUUUAGGGUUCUGAAAGAGUUAUCGGAAGACUAGACUAUGAAACAAUGCUGUGUAAGGAUUUUGAAAUAAUAAAGACAACAUAUAUGAAAGAUUAUGGUAAUGGUUUCGGGGUACUGUGUUAAUUCUUUCUGCACUUUGUGAUAGCUGUUGCCUUUUGUUUUUCCAAUUAAGGUAUGAUUUUUCCUUUUCUGAACUUGAGAUGGAGCCUCACAACACAUGUCUCUAGUUAUGUGAACAAGGAUGAUUAGGAUUUCUGAUGGCAGGGGAACUUUGAUUCCGCUGUAUAAGUAGUUUGCUGUAUUAGGGAGUUGAACUGAGCUAUAGGAUGAUAGGUACAAUGAUUCCCUUCAUUCCUUCAAAACAUGAAGUCUAGGAAGUCUUUUUGUUAAGUCAUGUUUAUUUUAGAUAGAAGGGGAUGGAACCCUCUGAAGUUUUCAUGCAAAUUUUUGAUAUUUUUGGGUUGUGUGGUGGCUUCAUCCCUUGGUUUUUUUGACCAAAACCCUAAACUCCUAGCUUGACAAGACUAAAAAAAAAAAAUUGCAACCCAAAACCCCAAAUUGGUAACUAUGGAGGCUUGUCAGCAAAGAAGUUACAAGUUUGUUCAGGGAUGUUUUGGACAUGUUCAUUGUUGUUCACAUUGGGAGUCAUCGUCGCAGCCAUGUUGCUUAUAUCCAGGCAAUUGAUGUGCAUUACAGUGACAAGAGACUUGGUGGAAAUUGUGGGAAUUAUAAUCAGGAAAUUGUAUGUUU
Fragaria vesca subsp. vesca is the source of this 1024-nucleotide RNA transcript. RefSeq lists it as uncharacterized. The record is from RefSeq and is a predicted model, not a curated record. Lineage: Eukaryota; Viridiplantae; Streptophyta; Magnoliopsida; Rosales; Rosaceae. The transcript is spliced from 3 exons.